RNAcentral lists this ribosomal RNA (264 nucleotides) under uncultured bacterium. Its description in RNAcentral is "partial 16S ribosomal RNA". It matches the Rfam family "Bacterial small subunit ribosomal RNA", at positions 793 to 1055 of the family's 1533-position model. The record is from RNAcentral.
GUCCACGCCCUAAACGAUGCAUAUUUGGUGUAGGUCAUUCAGUUGAUCUGUGCCGGAGCUAACGCGUUAAAUAUGCCGCCUGGGGAGUACAGUCGCAAGGCUGAAACUCAAAGGAAUUGACGGGGGCCCGCACAAGCGGUGGAGCAUGUGGUUCAAUUCGACGCAACGCGAAGAACCUUACCUGGGCUCGAACGGCUGGUUAACGGCGGUGGAAACACUGCUACUCCGCAAGGAGGUCCAGUCGAGGUGCUGCAUGGCUGUCGU